UACGGAGGGUGCGACCGUUAAUCGGAAUCACUGGGCGUAAAGCGCGCGUAGGCGGUUUGUUAAGUGGGAUGUGAAAUCCCCGGGCUUAACCUGGGAAUUGCAUUUCAAACUGGCCGACUAGAGUACGGUAGAGGGAGGUAGAAUUUCCUGUGUAGCGGUGAAAUGCGUAGAUAUAGGAAGGAAUACCAGUGGCGAAGGCGGCCUCCUGGAUCGAUACUGACGCUGAGGCGCGAAAGCGUGGGGAGCAAACAGG
Molecule: ribosomal RNA, 253 nt
Filed under: uncultured bacterium
Lineage: Bacteria
Description: partial 16S ribosomal RNA
Rfam family: Bacterial small subunit ribosomal RNA
Source: RNAcentral